Molecule: ribosomal RNA, 531 nt
Filed under: Djiboutia sp. MNHN IM 2019-3604
Lineage: Eukaryota; Metazoa; Mollusca; Gastropoda; Littorinimorpha; Velutinidae
Description: partial large subunit ribosomal RNA
Source: RNAcentral
AUGUCUUCUUGAGUCUCCAUAAUAGGAAGUCUAGCCUGCCCUGUGAUAARUAUUUAACGGCCGCGGUACUCUGACCGUGCGAAGGUAGCAUAAUCAUUUGUCUUAUAAUUGAAGUCUGGAAUGAAUGGUUGGACAAGGGUAAAGCUGUCUCUAUUUUAGAAAUAAAAUUUUAUUAUUAAGUCAAAAAGCUUAAAUAGAAUUGAAAGACGAGAAGACCCUAUCGAGCUUUAAAUAUCUUGUAAAAUUUUUAACAUUAAUGUAAUCGAGAAGUUUACUGAAAUUUUUGGUUGGGGUGACCUCGGAACAACAAAAACUUCCGGUAGAGUCUGUAUUUAGUAGAUACUAGAUCCGUUAAGUAACGAUAGUAAACUUAGUUACCGUAGGGAUAACAGCAUAAUCUUUUUUGAGAGUUCAAAUCGAAAAAGGGGUUUGUGACCUCGAUGUUGGACCAAAAUAACCUAAAGAUGUAGAAGUCUUUAAGGGUUGGUCUGUUCGACCAUUAAAAUUUUACGUGAUCUGAGUUCAGACCGG